This 253-nucleotide ribosomal RNA is filed under the name uncultured bacterium. Its description in RNAcentral is "partial 16S ribosomal RNA". It matches the Rfam family "Bacterial small subunit ribosomal RNA", at positions 524 to 776 of the family's 1533-position model. The record is from RNAcentral.
GACGUAGGGGGCCAGCGUUGCUCGGAAUUACUGGGCGUAAAGGGUUCGUAGGCGGUGCGGCAAGUCGGGAGUGAAAUCUCUGGGCUUAACUCAGAGGCUGCUUCCGAAACUGCCGUGCUUGAGUGCGGGAGAGGCCAGUGGAAUUGCAGGUGUAGCGGUGAAAUGCGUAGAUAUCUGCAGGAACACCCGUGGCGAAGGCGGCUGGCUGGACCGCAACUGACGCUGAGGAACGAAAGCUAGGGGAGCAAACAGG